GGAUUCAUGCCCGGUUGCAUGGCCGGACUUCAAAUCCGGUUGGGGCAGCGAGCCUGUCCCGGGUGGGUUCGCCCCCUCCGCCA
RNAcentral lists this transfer RNA (83 nucleotides) under Ensifer adhaerens. Its description in RNAcentral is "tRNA-Sec". The record is from RNAcentral. Lineage: Bacteria; Pseudomonadati; Pseudomonadota; Alphaproteobacteria; Hyphomicrobiales; Rhizobiaceae.